UACGUAGGGUGCGAGCGUUGUCCGGAUUUAUUGGGCGUAAAGGGCUCGUAGGCGGCCUGUCGCGUCGAGAGUGAAAGCCCACUGCUUAACGGUGGGUCUGCUUCCGGUACGGGCGGGCUAGAGUAUGGCAGGGGAGACUGGAAUUCCCAGUGUAGAGGUGAAAUUCGUAGAUAUUGGGAAGAACACCGGUGGCGAAGGCGGUUCUCUGGGCCUUACCUGACGCUGAGGAGCGAAAGCGUGGGGAGCAAACAGG
RNAcentral lists this ribosomal RNA (253 nucleotides) under uncultured bacterium. RNAcentral describes it as "partial 16S ribosomal RNA". It matches the Rfam family "Bacterial small subunit ribosomal RNA", at positions 524 to 776 of the family's 1533-position model. The record is from RNAcentral.